GGGGGCGACCUGGUUUCGACAGAGGUUGCAACGCAGAACAGGGCAUACCGAGGACUGGUUACCUCGUAAAUACAUCCAGAACUGCUUAAAUGCAAACACUGUAAAAGAUUUCGGUGCCUCUGCGAACAGCAACAAGUUCGCUCUGGCAGCUUAAUCUACCCCUAACCGCUUAAUACCGGCUAGCUCUGCACCACUUUUUUCCUUGGGGUGGGCUGGAAACAGUACGCAGAGUCAUAAACAAGGAAUCGCUUUGGGCCGGGUUACUUGGUUCACGGUUAAAUUUAGGUGACUCGUCUUGCCGCAGCGUGUGCGUCCGCGGUGUCAGGAUUAAAUCAAAUGACAGCACUAAGUAUGUAGAACUGCCUGUUUAGUACUUUUGGACGCGGGUUCGAUUCCCGCCGCCUCCACCA
Molecule: transfer-messenger RNA, 410 nt
Filed under: Burkholderiaceae
Lineage: Bacteria; Pseudomonadati; Pseudomonadota; Betaproteobacteria; Burkholderiales
Also listed under: 1 other name
Description: Herbaspirillum sp004134995 Standard tmRNA
Rfam family: transfer-messenger RNA
About the family: Bacterial tmRNA, also known as 10Sa RNA or SsrA, is named for its dual tRNA and mRNA-like properties. Its role is to liberate the mRNA from a stalled ribosome. To accomplish this part of the tmRNA is used as a reading frame that ends in a translation stop signal.
Source: RNAcentral